This 236-nucleotide long non-coding RNA is filed under the name Fukomys damarensis (Damara mole-rat). RNAcentral describes it as "lncRNA (ENSFDAG00000022942.1)". The record is from RNAcentral. Lineage: Eukaryota; Metazoa; Chordata; Mammalia; Rodentia; Bathyergidae.
ACUGGAGACAUAUAACUCCAUUUUUCCUUUUUUCCAGAAUGACAUCAUGGAUAAAACAAAAAAGAACAAAUGAAAAAUAAAGUUAAGACAGUACUCUCACAUGGUGAGAAAUUUCAAGAACAACAACCAUUUCUCAAGGCCUGACUCACAAUGGAAAGCAUUUCUCCUGGACUAUUUUAGAGAAUCCUCUCAACAAUCUUUUAAGGAAGGUACUGUUUUAUUCCCACUUGUAUGAA